RNAcentral lists this long non-coding RNA (1240 nucleotides) under Helianthus annuus (common sunflower). Lineage: Eukaryota; Viridiplantae; Streptophyta; Magnoliopsida; Asterales; Asteraceae. The record is from RNAcentral.
AUGAAUUUUGGAACAGUACAAUAAUUGACCAACUUUUGCCUCUUAUUUACAAAAUUGCCCACGCCCAGCUUCCUUUUUCUUCAAUAGAGUGAGAGGACCGGAAAUUCUGUUGAGAGAGAGAAGAAACAGAGGUAGAAUCGAAGAGAGAGAGCGCGUGAACGGGAGGGGAUCCGGCAAUCAUCUAUGGUCGGCCACCAUGUUUUGGUGACCAUCUCUGUCUUCCCCCCUGGUUCUAGCCCGGUAGCGCCUACGGUUUCAGCAGAGCUACGGCCAGUUAGAUUCGUUUACAAAUGAAUACCCUUAUCCAAUUCCACCACAUCCCUCGACGUCUCCCCUUCCUCCCUCUUCUCCCAGUUUCGAUUCCGGCGAACCCUCCAUCGGAAUCCACGCUUGAUGCUUGUCGUCUGAAAUUUGAGAUUUGACAGAUUGCAUGUACAAAUUUGGGUCUACUUGUGUUCAUUGUAGAUUCUGCAGUUCUAAAAGCUACUCGAAUUUGGUCUCCAUUCAGGAAUAGGCACACGUCGCCCAUCAAAACAGAGAGAGAAAGCCUUCGGCGAAGGAGGAAGCCGACCUCCAGUGACCAGGCCUCCGUAGGCAACGACAGUGGAAGACGGUCGCGAUAUGGUCAUUGACGAUGGUGUGUGACGCUAAUGGCUAGACGACAGUGGAAGACGGUCGCAAUAUGGUCGUCGUCAAUGGUGUGUUACUCUAAUGUAUAGAUAGUCGUUUAUGCCGGUGUAUGACGCUAUUGGCUCCAACGGGUCACAUAUAGUCUCAGAGGAAGGGCGAAGGUAGACGAGUAAAAACUCUCUCAAUUCUUUCUGAAUUUAUAUGUUCGUUAAUGGAGAUUCGUGUGGCUACGCCUUUAAUCUUCAGUAUUGGACUAUAGAAGUUGGAAUUCAUCAUGUCAAACAUCACCGUAAGUUAUAUCUUCUCCGCUUAAUUCUCCGAGAGGUGGCGAUUGCUUAGAGGCUUUGCUUGCAGCGACCUUUUUUUUUGUCUGCUUUUGACGGAACCAUCGAGAACUAGGAGCUUUUACAAUCGAUUGGUGGUUUUAAUUUGUGCAAAUGACCACUCAUGAUGUAUCUUCUACGCAAUAUAUGAUUAUAACUCUAUUGAAUUUGUGUAACAUUUGUAACAGGUUUACAUUUGCGUUGAUUGUGUGUGAUGAUUUGUCUAAGUGAAAACUACUAUCUGGUUUGGUCGUAUCUGCAAGAAAAAAAAAGCGAGGCUUUGUUCU